This 405-nucleotide ribosomal RNA is filed under the name uncultured rumen bacterium. RNAcentral's name for it is "bacterial SSU rRNA". It matches the Rfam family "Bacterial small subunit ribosomal RNA", at positions 354 to 776 of the family's 1533-position model. The record is from RNAcentral.
GUGGGGAAUAUUGCACAAUGGGCGAAAGCCUGAUGCAGCGACGCCGCGUGAGUGAUGAAGUAUCUCGGUAUGUAAAGCUCUAUCAGCAGGGAAGAUAAUGACGGUACCUGACUAAGAAGCACCGGCUAAAUACGUGCCAGCAGCCGCGGUAAUACGUAUGGUGCAAGCGUUAUCCGGAUUUACUGGGUGUAAAGGGUGCGUAGGUGGAACGGCAAGUCAGAUGUGAAAACCCGGGGCUCAACCCCGUGACUGCAUUUGAAACUGUCGAUCUAGAGUGCAGGAGAGGAAAGCGGAAUUCCUAGUGUAGCGGUGAAAUGCGUAGAUAUUAGGAGGAACACCAGUGGCGAAGGCGGCUUUCUGGACUGUUACUGACACUGAGGCACGAAAGCGUGGGGAGCAAACAGG